UCGGUAAAACUCGUGCCAGCCACCGCGGUUAUACGAAAGACCCUAGUUGAUAGCCACGGCGUAAAGGGUGGUUAAGGUAUAUAACAAAUAAAGCUAAAUAGCCUCUAGGCCGUCGCACGCAUUCCGAGAGCUCGAAACCCAAAAACGAAAGUAGCUUUAAAAUAAACAGACCUGACCCCACGAAAGCUAAGAAACAAACUGGGAUUAGAUACCCCACUAUG
This 221-nucleotide ribosomal RNA is filed under the name Pimelodus mysteriosus. RNAcentral describes it as "partial small subunit ribosomal RNA". The record is from RNAcentral. Lineage: Eukaryota; Metazoa; Chordata; Actinopteri; Siluriformes; Pimelodidae.